RNAcentral lists this microRNA (21 nucleotides) under Cordylochernes scorpioides. Lineage: Eukaryota; Metazoa; Arthropoda; Arachnida; Pseudoscorpiones; Chernetidae. The record is from RNAcentral.
GUUCAGUCGGUAGAGCAUGAG